UACAGAGGUUGCAAGCGUUGUUCGGAAUUAUUGGGCGUAAAGGGUCCGUAGGUGGCAAUCUAAGUCAGAUGUGAAAUCCCCCGGCUUAACCUGGGAACUGCGUCUGAUACUGGACGGCUUGAGUAUGGGAGAGGGAUGUAGAAUUCCAGGUGUAGCGGUGAAAUGCGUAGAUAUCUGGAGGAAUACCGGUGGCGAAGGCGGCAUCCUGGACCAUUACUGACGCUGAGGCGCGAAAGCUAGGGGAGCAAACGGG
This 253-nucleotide ribosomal RNA is filed under the name uncultured bacterium. Its description in RNAcentral is "partial 16S ribosomal RNA". It matches the Rfam family "Bacterial small subunit ribosomal RNA", at positions 524 to 776 of the family's 1533-position model. The record is from RNAcentral.